GGGCUGGAGGAAGAUGGCGGUGAACCAGAACCACACGGAGAACCGCCGCGGGGCCGUCAUCCCUUAUGGUGAAAGUGUCUUGAAGCAGUGUCAGGAUGUGGAGCUCUCCUUUCCACAGCAACCAGAGGGAUCCAAUUUCUUCAGUGGUACAAAGAGGGGAAUAUUGUUUCUCACUUCACACAGGGUAAUCUUUGUGACUUCACACUCAGCCAGUGAUCCCAUGUUUUCUUUUAUGAUGCCAUUUGAUCUGAUGAGUAACUGUACCAUUGAACAACCCGUCUUUGCCCCCAACUACAUUAAGGGAACCAUUCAGGCAGCUCCAGAUGGUGGCUGGGAAGGACAGGCUACUUUUAAAUUAGCCUUCAGAAAAGGAGGUGCCAUCAAAUUCGGCCAAUUGAUGAUGAAAGCUGCCUCUGCUGCUGCCCAAGGAGCUCCACUUGGAAGUGUAAAUUACUGGCUUGGUGCUCCAGGACUGUAUUUCUUUACUGGGCAGGGGAGCAUGAUGUGCAGCCAAGAGGUGCCUUGUCCAGCAUACCCAGUUAUUAUGUAUGGGCCCCAACCUGUGAGAUAUGGAGCCCCAUCGGGGGGAUACGGAGCCCCACCAGCGGGAUAUGGAGCCCCACUAGCAGGAUAUGGAGCCUCGCCUCUGUUAUACGGAGCCCAACCUACAGGAUAUGGAGCCCCACCAGCGGGAUAUGGAGCCCCAUCGGGGGGAUACGGAGCCCCACCAGCGGGAUAUGGAGCCCCAUCGGGGGGAUACGGAGCCCCACCAGCAGGAUAUGGAGCCCCAUCGGGGGGAUACGGAGCCCCACCAGCGGGAUACGGAGCCCCACCAGAGGCAUCUGAAGCUCUGUCUGCAGGAUAUGGAGCCCCACCAGAGAGAUAUGAAUCUCCACCUGUGGGAUAUGGAGCCCUACCAGCAGGAUCUGAAGCCUCGCCUGCAGGAUAUGGAACCCCACUAGCUGGAAAUGAAACCCCACCUUUGGGAUAUGAAACUGCACCUACCAAAAAUAGAGCCGGGUCUCACAAAUCUGCAGCAGCCCAACCUGCUGAAUAUGAGGCUUCUCUUCCUUCUGCCUCAUCUACUCAGGCCCAUUCACCACCAUCUGAGAAGUAAACCCUGAAGACUUACCAAGCAAAGUAGCACCCUGAAAUUGAAGUCAGGAUAAGGACACAAGUGCCGAGCAGUAGGAGGAGUUUCCUGUGCAAGUAGUGGCCUGAUCCUCCCCCCACAUCUGUGAGGUCCUGGUGAGCUUUGAGUCCCUUUUCCUGCUGCGGGCUUGAUCCCCGUGUUCAGAGGGCCUGUGUCAAAGGCAGUAGCGUAGUUCAAAGGAGGGCUCAGGUUGCUCAUGGGACCAGAAGAUUGGUUCCAGAUCUGCCGCUGCCUUGUAACUGGGCUGUGGGGGGUGCUGGGAGCCUGAGACCAGCUGCCUUUGAGCCAGCUCAGCUGGCACAGGAAAGAGAAUCCUGAGAUCUUUGAGUUUUUCAUGGCCUCAUGGCCUCAUCCCUUUAUCACAGUCCCAGAUCUGAAGGCUCUGCUGCAUUAAUUGCCUUAAUGGUGCCCCCUGAGUAAAGGGUACUUAUGACGAUGGAAGGUGAAGAGUUUAAGAGGGGCACUAAUUGCGUCAAGUGCCUGGCCCAUUUAUUAACUAUGUUUGUGCCAAGCACCCUGCCAAGCACUUUACAUAUAUAAUUUAGCAAGGUGAGUGCUUGGACCCCAAUCUCAUAGAUGAAGAAACGAAGCAAACUGCCGAAGGCACACAGCUGACUAGGAAGUGACACGGCAGGAUCUGAACGUAGGUUUCCCUUUUCAUUCACACACUCAUUCAUUUAUUGAGGGCCUUUUCCAUGCCGUUUCUGUGUGCUUGGGGUAUCAGUGACCAAAACAGACAAAUUCCUGCUCUUAUGGGGCUUACAUAAUACUAAGAUGCAGUCAGUACAUAUUAUGUUACAUGAUAUAACUAGGCAUAUCAUAUUCAAACUGUAGAAAAAGCAAAAACAGACGUUGAUAAGAGCUAUGAAAAAAUAUAGAACAACGUAAGGGAGACUGGGAGCACUAAGGGGUUGGCAGAGGGAGCAGUGUGCAGUGCAGCCUUGUUGAGAAGUUAAUAUCUGAAUAAAGACUUGAAAGAUAAAGGAGGUGAGGGAACUGGCCAUGCAGAUACCUGGGGAAAAGUGUUCUGGGCCUAGGGAACAGCUAGUAUAAAGGCAGCUUAAUUCCAAGGUGCCUUCCCUUAUACCCAGUGCCUCAAAACAGUUGAAUGUGAGAAGACUGUUCUCAAGGAAGGAAAAUGCUCGAAAACAUUGCAAGCCAACCACAGUAAGAGAUCUGAACCAGUCCAUGUAAAACAGCUUGGGCAUGGACAUUGAUUUCUGGGUCCUCGUCAGGUAACAGGCAUCCUUCCUGUCUACAUCUUAAGGACAAAAAAGAAGUUAAAGUAACUGAAGAGGCUGGGUCACUCUGGUUUCACACCCUCGAUUAAAGUCUGCUUGCUGUAGCAUACCUCUGCUGUGGUCUUGCUCUGUUUCUGAGGGCAUCUGCUAUAUGGCCUGGUUCUGGUGCCUUGGGACCACCCAAUAGGACAGCUUGGAUGUGCCCAGUGUCUCAGCUUCCUGGCUGGGCUCUGUACUUGUCCUGCUUCAACUGUUCCAUUAUCUGGUUCCAAGAGAGAUGGAUCUUCUCAGUGCUAAAGUCUCUGGAUCCUCUUGAUGGAGCAUUUGCCUAAGUCGGGGAAGUCUGUUUUCCGACUUUCCAUGGAAAGGAGUGCCAGAAUAAAUCGAUGUGAGAGCUUGUAGGCUGACCACUUGCUUGUUGUGCUGCCCAAAAUUGUGCUGUCGGCUUCCUAAGGAUCAGUUCAGGUUAAGUACUUACUGAGGCUGCUCUGUGCCAGCCGUGCUCUGAGGAAUCUGAUACACCCUGACCUUGAGGGGUACACAGACUGCUCCAGAGAUCGACAUUUGCAUUACGUUUUGCAAGUGUCCACCCUGUCCUGGACCCCACAUACCCCUAAAAUAUAGGAUGGGAGCAGGUAGGUACCUCACCCUUGGUGUGGUCCCUCCUCCUGUUGGCUUGCUCUGAGAAUCUUAACUUCCCUUGGUCCUCAGACUUUUGGUUUGGGCUUGGAGAACUAUUUUAGAAAUAUUUAUGCUCAAGCUUGGGCUUCUCCCUUGGACCCAAUUCUGGCAUUAGACCUCUGGCUUUUACCUGAUGACCAAUGAGAGAGAGGGAGAGAGAGAGGAGACUACUAAUUUCUGACAAAAGUGUAAUGAUAGAGGUCUGCAUGGGGAUUAGAGGAUGGGCUCUGAUCAGCUUAAGGUGCUCCUGUCACCUUCCUGAAGAAGGGGAUGCCUGCAUUGCUUUGAUGCCCCAACCAGGAAGCUCUUUGGUCUGGGUAUGUGGUCCAGCCUUAAU
This is an RNA transcript of Hipposideros armiger (great roundleaf bat), 3412 nucleotides long. It is a transcript of the gene named WBP2 N-terminal like, with no coding region annotated. Lineage: Eukaryota; Metazoa; Chordata; Mammalia; Chiroptera; Hipposideridae. The transcript has 7 exons. The record is from RefSeq and is a predicted model, not a curated record.